This 6903-nucleotide unclassified non-coding RNA is filed under the name Hevea brasiliensis (rubber tree). Lineage: Eukaryota; Viridiplantae; Streptophyta; Magnoliopsida; Malpighiales; Euphorbiaceae. The record is from RNAcentral.
AGUUAAUGUAAGAAACUCAUAAUAUAAUACAGCUCUUAAUCACAUUAAAAAUUAUCAAACCUUAAUCUUUCUUGACGUAUUUGAUUAAAUUAUAUACAAUGAAUGAAAACAACAUACAUUCGGUUGUGAUAAAGGCUAUCAAAGAAUCAAGGGUUAUCCUAUAUGACCUACUCAACAAUUUUAAUUACAAUAAGUUCCCAUUAUCAGCCAGUAAGGCGAAAAUCAUGAAGCAGCAAUCAGCAUUUACAAUAUGUACAAAAUUGCCAGAAAAAAUCUAUUUGAUGGUUUUUAUCGACUGUACACAUGACACGUGGAUUACCGUAACUAAAAUGAGAACUCUGGAGAGGAUGGCAAGAAUAAAUCAGUUAGUCGUGUUAAGGUAAUAUCCAUGCAUUUAGAUCAAUCGAAAUCACGUGGCCGAGUGGGACCCAGAUACUUGUCCAUUGACUGUUUCUUGCGCUCAGGAUCAAGGCUAUUUCUUAGGCCAAGAAAAGCAUAAUGUGCUGCACUUGCAAAAGCAGAAACUGGAGCUAUAGCAGCAGCAGGAACACCUCGUAUAGCAGUUGCCAAGGCAGAUCCUGCACUGGCUCCACGCUGGUACUUCUUCAAUGGUGCCUGAACUAAAACAGAAGCAGAUUUCCCUAGGCCAUCACUGAGGCUCUCAUAUGCCUAUCAAAUUGAAAACAUCAAAUCCUUGGGAAAAGUAUUGGUUGCACACACAUCAAUUUAUUUCGUAAAACAUUUUAAAGAGCACAGUGAUACACACUACCAAUCUUAUUAUGCUGUGUUUUUACUCCCAUUGAAAAAAAAAUGAAAAUAUAAUUUAGAAGAAACAGCUUUUAGGUGUUAUAAGCAAUAUCAUGAGCAACCAUGCAAAACACAAAGUAUAUUGUAAUGUUCACCUGCUGAAUUCCUUGUUGGGCACUUUUUGGCUGAUUAUAUCUCACAUUAGGCUUUGUUUUGGCUUUUACAGGCCAUGAUACAGGAGGAAUCCUUGUGAGAAUAUAUUCUGCUUGGAGCAAAAUCUCGUGAGCUCCCGCUGCCAAAUGCACCCCAAGUCCAAUAGCUUCAAGUGAUAUACUUCUAAGAAAUGCAAUUGUACCUCUCUGCAUUCCUUUAAGCACUCUCUGAUCCUUCUUAUAGCUCUCAACAGGCAAAGAAACAAGCUUUGCUGCACCAGCACCAACAGCAACCAAGGAUCUGAUGGUAGGAAGGCCUUGCAAAACUUUAUGCAUCUGAUUUUGAGAAAUAUCCUCCAGCCACUCCCCGAUGGUCGUUUCACAUACAUUGCCCCAGCCAUAGACACCAACAGCAUGAACACAUUUGAGUUGAAGCUCAACCCCCUUCCAAGGGACAAGGUUUACAAGUUCCACAUACUUUCCACCUCCCAACGCUGCUAGAUCUACGUGAUGGGGACUGUAGUCAACCCGAAGAACAGUAGGCCAUACAUCAAACUUCUGAAAAUAGGGAAGCAAUGCCUCAUCUGCAAUUCUAUGUCCUGCAAGAUUUUUUGUUGCAUGUGGUUUUGCACCACCUGAAUUUUGAUUAGGAUCUGAAAACUGAUCAGUUGAUAAGCCUUUUGCACCAAAAAAGCCAAUGAGAAAAUCAAGUUGGCUCUGAUGAAGUUGCAAUAGCAUAGGAAGCAAAGCUAUGCGCAACCGGUACUCCUCAAGAGGGGUUAAAGGAUCUGGUCUGACAGCUUCCAAGCCUAGCUUAAGUGCUUUUGAAGAGGAUUCCCUAGGAUGAUCUUUUGAACGAUAAUAUCCCAGUACCCGUUUCCAAGGUGCAGAUUUGCUCCUGUCAUAAAGGUAAAAGUCCUGAACUGAAAGAGAAAGCUUAGAAGCACAUAUUCCACCAACAGGGAACAGGUCGUAUUGAAAUUGUGUCCCAGAUAGUACAAGCUCUAGACAAGUAGUUGUAUCCCUUCCAUGAAGACUUCUAGAAGACCCACCAUUCUUUUCAUGUGUAUGCCAAUCAGAACCAGCAAACAUUCUCCAGCUUACAUUAAUGUUCUUAAGAAGUACACACCCCAUGGGCUUUCCAAAAUUAUCAGCUCUUAUACGGUCAGAAGAUGAAAGCUUGUCUUCCAAAACCUUAUUCAAGCUGGCUUCUUCACUUUCUUCAGAAAUGUGAUUUUCAAUAAUGCUUAAAGAAGUAUCCUUAUACCAUCCACUAUUUCCUCUUCCAAGAUCUCCAUCCCCAAAAUUCCUGGAUCGGGAUUUAAUAAUCUCAGAUGGCAACUGCCUGCCAAAGGACAAUUCUGACAAUGGGCGUAACUCAGACAAGCAAUAGCCUUCUAUAAGUUCUGGCAAGGAACCAUUCUGUAAAUAUGAGGUUUGACUACUUUCUAGUCCUAUUAGAGGAGUAGACCCAUCAAAAAAUACAUCAUCAGAGACAAAUUCAGGAGCUCUAAUACUUGGGCAGAAGGCCUCUCCAAGGAGGCUUUCAUCAAAUGAAACAUGAACUUGUGAUUCAUUAGAAUAAUAUUGGCAGUCCUGAUUCCCAUCCAAAUUAAAUGCAUCUUCAUAUAUCUCAUCCAUUAAACCAACAAUCCCCAGUUUAUUAUUUGCAUCACCACUAGAGGCAUGCACUUGACAUGUUAACAAAGCUGAAUUAUUAUCGGGUGUCCUACAAUCGUCAUUGAAUUCAUUUCUCUCUUGGGAUUGAUGAACAUUAUUCCACCGAGUCUGCAAGUGCACAAUUGAUUCCUCCAAAUCAGGGGCAAAAAGCUGCUGGAGUUGAGCAGCCAACAGAAUCAAACCAGAGGUAGUGUCAUGGCAGGUUUCCACACAGAUGUGGGAUUCUGAACAUUCUAACUCCCAUGAAAGACCAUUCUUACAGUUGGUUCUUAAAAUUGCUUCAACAAAUGCCUCCUGUGCAACUUUAACAUAACCCAUCUCAUGAAGAUGCUCCACACUGUAAGUGCCACCAAGAUUCUCAAAUGCUGCACAAAGAAGGAACCCCAAAUCUUGCACUAUAAUUCUGUAAUCAUUGCCCAUAGAACCCUCUGUAGUAGUAUUCAAAAGAGUCAAGGAAGAUGCAGCUAACAGACAAGCAACAUAUGGCUCACUUGUUUCAUCUUUCAAAUAUGAGGAACUGGACUCAGAAUUGAGAUCAGUAACCACUGAAUUCUUCAAAUGGGGCUCAUAACUUAAACCAAUAUCAACCAAUUUGAGAAUGAAAGCUAUUACACAAGGUGCAUUCAUAUCCCCCUCUGGCAAAUUAUCAUCACCCGCUUUCUCGAUUUCACGCGCAGGCAUGGUGAAAAAGGAGGAUAUUGCAUCAAACCAAUCCAAGCGACCACCAACAGCCACAAUUGUGCCACAUCUGACAGUAAUAGAUGUAAAUUCAUGUAUGUUUAUUGGAUCCCAUAGAUGUAUAAUAUCAGAACCAGCCAACCUAGACGAUAAUGCAUUUGAACCUCCUCCAUCACCACGUUUCCUUGUAGAGUUGCUACAAGAAAUCAGAAGAAACUCCUUAUCUGGAACCCCAGUGAUUGAACCCCACAAUUUACCUUCUCCAUGGGCUAGCCAAAAGAAAUUGGCACCCCCAAUCCCUCCAAUAUUUGAAACAGACAACAUAUCAAGCUUCUGAACUUUCAAUUUUAAACAAUGCCAUGAUCCAGGAAGUUCACUCUGCAAUGAAUUUUUCACAUCCUCCUUCAUAUCUGGUCUAAUUAAAAUCUCUACGGAAGCACAUUCCACAAGGAUUGAUGCUUGAGAUACAGACAAAAAUUCGCCAGCAUUUACUGGGUCACAGGAUGCUCCUGAUAAUCUAUUAAUCAUCUGAUCCAAAAGAUUAUGCAAAUUAUCAUAUUGAGAACUGCCAAGAUCAAUGGAAACAGAAAAUAGAUGAAUAUGCAGGAAAAAUGCAGAGCUCAAAAUUAUCUCCUUCCGAGUUUGAGAAUUCGUGUCUUCCAGAUCCUUCACAGAAGUUACAGAGACAAAUUCAUAACCUUUCGCUGCAGUUUUUUUCCUGCUCCUAGAUUCCUCUGAAGUAGCCAAGGACUUGGCUCUCUCAGCUAUGCAAGGACCGGUCACAGAACCCUCCUGCCAAAUCAUACUAACAGUAGAAGGACAACCACCUCUGUUGCUGAUGGAUAAAAUCUUCUGAGCACAAAAUGUCUGCCUUGGCACACCAGAGGAGUUGCUUCCAGCAUCACUUUGACUUGUAGGAUUGACCAAGUAAAUAUUUAGAUUACCAACAUUCAUAUGCAAAGAGCUAGAAGCCUUUGGAGUAUAACUUUUCCAAGAACUGGUAUCUGACAAUAAACUAGUGUCUUGAACAUUUCCCUUGUCAAAAGAUGAUGGUGAGGUAAAGUCAAAAGCAAUAAAUUGAACCCAGGAAAAGUAGCUCUCAAUAUCUUUGACAGUUCCAAAGGGGAAACAUAUAAUUAUCCUCGCAUUAGGGAUUGAUAUAUUGCCUUCUAAUUUUUCUGCAGAAGACAAUGUUGCAACACCAGUACAUGAACCCCUUUCCACAUUGCCAAGAGAUGAUCCACACUUUUGAUUGACAGGAGAAAAUUCAUCUUUCUUACUGUACAUUUUCACAUAUUCUCCAAUGUCCUUCAGAAGAUCCAAUAACAAAUGUAUAGACCAGAAGUUCACCCAAAAUAUGAAAUGUGGCAAUCGCAAUGAAAAUGAUGUUGAACCUUUUACACGUCCAUCUAAUGAAUCAGAAUUUAUAGUAAAUUGGCAAUGAGUGACACCUGAGGUACUAAGCAAUUUGACUUUUGUCAUAUUUCUAAAAACAAAAUUUGAAGCAUUUUGAACACUUAAUUCAUCUAAAUCAGGAUUUUUCACAGAUAAGGCCAACAGAGGAAGAGCAGCUUGAACGUCUCCUUGCAGAUAUUGAAUAGAAAGAGUUUGAUUUCUGCUAUCAGUACUACACUCUAUCAAGUGAAGGUUUGUGAUAUCAUUUUCAUUGCAGGAGUAAUCAGCAACCUCAAUAUACUGCACUUUUCCUUCAAAUCUCAUUUCUUGAGUACAUACCUGCAAAGCAACAAAAAUGUCUUUGCACUCAGUGAUCAUAUAGUGAACAUGUAAGCCAUUACUAUGAUCAUCCUUUGGACCACACAAAUACUCCUGAUCUUCAUCUUGGAAAGAUAAUAUGAUAGAAAUUCCAGCCAAAGUCGCUUGAAGGUUAGUCUGAACAUGCUGCUGCUCCAAGGGGAUAUGCAAAGAUCCAGAAGCAAGACUGGAUGCAGCAGUUAAUGCACUGAAAACAGAACUUGUCCAGUUCCACAUUCCACUGCUUCCUAGUGCAGAUUGUGAACUUCUCAUUCCAUCAAAACAUUCAAAGAACUGGUCCACACUUGCCCCAAGAUCAAGUUCUUCUUGGCAAUCAUCUUUAUUAUUGUCUUUUACAGAAUUCGAAACCCAAUCAGGUAUAAGAUGUGAUCCAGCUAGCAUAGCUUCACUCGUUGAUUCUUGCAUAGUCAAAGAAUAAAAAGCAGAGGAAAAAGAACCAUGAUCAGGGAUCACAUUAUCAGGGGCAACCAUAGCAGGAAUGGAAGUUGAUGAACAAAAAUGAGAAGCAGAGUUCAAAUCAACAUUGUCUGUUGAAUUGCUUUGCAUCUCCUUAUCCAAAGUCUUAUAAGUUUCCCAUGAAAAUAACAACCACUUAAUUGCACUAGGUUGACACCUCAAUUCCACAGGAUCAAUGGAAAUGUUUGCAUCCACUUUACGAAUAUCUAAGGAACCAUUCUUCCAAGGGAUAUUCAGCUUUAAACUCCCUGAAAAUCCACCAUUACUCCCAGUCACAACUGGAGUCGUGGCAUUAGAUGGACAGUGCCCUGAUAACAAAUCACCAAAACUUGAACCUACUGGACAAGGAAAACAAGUUUGAUUAUCAACAUCAUCCAUCUGAAGUAGUUCAAGUACUGCUCCUUGAAAUGUUAUAAAGCUUGUUAGCUGACUUAUUCCGAGAAAGUUCUCAACUCUUGCAUCAGAAUUUGACUUAGCAUCUUCAGAAACACAAGUUCCACAUUCUGCUUCAGAUAUUCGAAGAACCAAGGUUUUCUGAUGACCAGCCUUCUUCUCAUCCUCUGAUUCUGGUUCAAAUGCAACAAUUAAUUUUUUGACAUUAACAUGGAAGCUUGUCAGAAACCAUUUAACCACCUUUGCAAUUGUCUUAACACCUUCAUGAACAACAGUUGAACUAGAUUUUGCAGAAUUAUCCAUCAUAUCAUGCCCAUGACUUCCUCCCUCACUUUGCAUAUCAAUAUUACUAUCUUGAUCAAAACCAUCAUUCUCAUCUCCUGCAGGUGAUUGAUUCCUUGGACAAGGUGUAAGCGCAAGCACAAGCUCAAGCUCAUCUAACUCAACCUGAAAACCUUUACUCUUCCAAGGCAUUUUAACUGAUAGAGAACCAAUUGAUCCUUCUUUUACAAUCACUGAUGUGGAACCAAUCUUGUGGUUAAGAUAAUCAACAUUAAGAGCAAGAUCAUUAAGCUGGAUGAUGCCUUGGCUGAGCUGGAUAUCAAGCUGGUUAAGAUCGAUAUCCCCCAACAAGAAUUGUCCUAAUUUCUUCUUCAACAAGAACUUGAAAAGCCGCUUCACCGCCCACUCCGAGAAAACGGCCUCCGCCGAUUUCGCUAGGCUCCAGGAAAACAUCUUAAAUCCUCUUCUCUGUCGCCUGUAGCCUAAUGUUCUCGUUGCUGCAACCUGCAAAAUUGAGGUGGAAUCUAAUGGAGUCCGAAAAGUGGAGGACUACUUAGGGUCUGCGAUGAGGAGAAAUUAGGGUUACGGUUUGUUGCUCGUGAUGGAAGAUGGGAAGUCCUCCAUCCAGAGGAUUUGGGUUUUCUAUAGAGAAAGAGAAGCGGUCACUCAGGCGCAGACAAGUAAUUGAAUUGUUAACUCGUUAUAGUGGAGGUUCCGUGCUGUAGUUUGUCUGGGUUCUUUU